AUGAAUCCUGCAGAUUCUGCUAGUACUGAUGGUGCAAUAGAAGGUCAAAGUCCAGCGGAAAAUUCUACAAACACGACAUCCCAUGCUACACGAGUUGCAAAAAAAGCCAAACAGAAACAAAUAGCUGCCACCAAACAAGCAGAGACGGCCCUAGUUCUUGCAACACCUACCACAGUACUACCAGCUCCACGACUUACUCGUGCAUCAACUGAGCUAGCAGCACGUUCCCAAGCCCCCUUGCCACCUGACACUACUUCCCAAGCACUCUUGACACAAGAUGAGUUGGCAAUAUCAGAUGAACAUUGUGAGCUUCAACAGCACGAAGCACCUAGGCGCAAGAGGAAACAAACAUCAGGGAUAAUGCUCGAUAGGUUAGGAGGAAGAAUGGAGGUCCAUUUUGAGGCAGGUUUAAAAAGGCCACGUGAUGCUACAAAGUCACCCAAGUUAGUAUCAGAGGCAGCGGUUGCCGUUAGGUGUCAUGUACGUAUCCUCCCAACAUGGAUCAGUACAGGAAUGACAAAGACGAAACCCAGUUCAACACCUUCCUCAACCAUUUAUCUAUGA
This 564-nucleotide ribosomal RNA is filed under the name Triticum aestivum (bread wheat). RNAcentral's name for it is "partial small subunit ribosomal RNA". The record is from RNAcentral. Lineage: Eukaryota; Viridiplantae; Streptophyta; Magnoliopsida; Poales; Poaceae.